This 684-nucleotide ribosomal RNA is filed under the name Pseudomonas donghuensis. RNAcentral describes it as "bacterial LSU rRNA". It matches the Rfam family "Bacterial large subunit ribosomal RNA", at positions 765 to 1448 of the family's 2925-position model. The record is from RNAcentral. Lineage: Bacteria; Pseudomonadati; Pseudomonadota; Gammaproteobacteria; Pseudomonadales; Pseudomonadaceae.
ACUGGAGGACCGAACCGACUACCGUUGAAAAGUUAGCGGAUGACCUGUGGAUCGGAGUGAAAGGCUAAUCAAGCUCGGAGAUAGCUGGUUCUCCUCGAAAGCUAUUUAGGUAGCGCCUCAUGUAUCACUGUAGGGGGUAGAGCACUGUUUCGGCUAGGGGGUCAUCCCGACUUACCAAACCGAUGCAAACUCCGAAUACCUACAAGUGCCGAGCAUGGGAGACACACGGCGGGUGCUAACGUCCGUCGUGAAAAGGGAAACAACCCAGACCGUCAGCUAAGGUCCCAAAGUUAUGGUUAAGUGGGAAACGAUGUGGGAAGGCUUAGACAGCUAGGAGGUUGGCUUAGAAGCAGCCACCCUUUAAAGAAAGCGUAAUAGCUCACUAGUCGAGUCGGCCUGCGCGGAAGAUGUAACGGGGCUCAAACCAUACACCGAAGCUACGGGUAUCACUUAGGUGAUGCGGUAGAGGAGCGUUCUGUAAGCCUGUGAAGGUGAGUUGAGAAGCUUGCUGGAGGUAUCAGAAGUGCGAAUGCUGACAUGAGUAACGACAAUGGGAGUGAAAAACUCCCACGCCGAAAGACCAAGGUUUCCUGCGCAACGUUAAUCGACGCAGGGUUAGUCGGUCCCUAAGGCGAGGCUGAAAAGCGUAGUCGAUGGAAAACAGGUUAAUAUUCCUGUACUUCU